Molecule: ribosomal RNA, 99 nt
Filed under: uncultured bacterium
Lineage: Bacteria
Description: partial 16S ribosomal RNA
Rfam family: Bacterial small subunit ribosomal RNA
Source: RNAcentral
CACACCGCCCGUCACACCACGAAAGUUGGGUGCAACCAAAACCAGUGAUUCAACCCGCAAGGGAGAUAGCUGUCAAAGUUGUGACCAAUGAUUGGGGUG